GGUUAAGCGACUAAGCGUACACGGUGGAUGCCCUGGCAGUCAGAGGCGAUGAAGGACGUGCUAAUCUGCGAAAAGCGUCGGUAAGGUGAUAUGAACCGUUAUAACCGGCGAUGUCCGAAUGGGGAAACCCAGUGCAAUUCGUUGCACUAUCGUUAACUGAAUACAUAGGUUAACGAGGCGAACCGGGGGAACUGAAACAUCUAAGUACCCCGAGGAAAAGAAAUCAACCGAGAUUCCCCCAGUAGCGGCGAGCGAACGGGGAGCAGCCCAGAGUCUGAAUCAGCUUGUGUGUUAGUGGAACGGUCUGGAAAGUCCGACGGUACAGGGUGAUAGUCCCGUACACCAAAAUGCACAGGCUGUGAACUCGAAGAGUAGGGCGGGACACGUGGUAUCCUGUCUGAAUAUGGGGGGACCAUCCUCCAAGGCUAAAUACUCCUGACUGACCGAUAGUGAACCAGUACCGUGAGGGAAAGGCGAAAAGAACCCCGGCGAGGGGAGUGAAAAAGAACCUGAAACCGUGUACGUACAAGCAGUGGGAGCACCUUCGGGUGUGACUGCGUACCUUUUGUAUAAUGGGUCAGCGACUUAUAUUCUGUAGCAAGGUUAACCGUAUAGGGGAGCCGCAGGGAAACCGAGUCUUAACUGGGCGUUAAGUUGCAGGGUAUAGACCCGAAACCCGGUGAUCUAGCCAUGGGCAGGUUGAAGGUUGGGUAACACUAACUGGAGGACCGAACCGACUAAUGUUGAAAAAUUAGCGGAUGACUUGUGGCUGGGGGUGAAAGGCCAAUCAAACCGGGAGAUAGCUGGUUCUCCCCGAAAGCUAUUUAGGUAGCGCCUCGUGAAUUCAUCUUCGGGGUAGAGCACUGUUUCGGCUAGGGGGUCAUCCCGACUUACCAACCCGAUGCAAACUACGAAUACCGAAGAAUGUUAUCACGGGAGACACACGGCGGGUGCUAACGUCCGUCGUGAAGAGGGAAACAACCCAGACCGCCAGCUAAGGUCCCAAAGUCAUGGUUAAGUGGGAAACGAUGUGGGAAGGCACAGACAGCCAGGAUGUUGGCUUAGAAGCAGCCAUCAUUUAAAGAAAGCGUAAUAGCUCACUGGUCGAGUCGGCCUGCGCGGAAGAUGUAACGGGGCUAAACCAUGCACCGAAGCUGCGGCAGCGACACUAUGUGUUGUUGGGUAGGGGAGCGUUCUGUAAGCCUGCGAAGGUGUGCUGUGAGGCAUGCUGGAGGUAUCAGAAGUGCGAAUGCUGACAUAAGUAACGAUAAAGCGGGUGAAAAGCCCGCUCGCCGGAAGACCAAGGGUUCCUGUCCAACGUUAAUCGGGGCAGGGUGAGUCGGCCCCUAAGGCGAGGCCGAAAGGCGUAGUCGAUGGGAAACAGGUUAAUAUUCCUGUACUUGGUGUUACUGCGAAGGGGGGACGGAGAAGGCUAUGUUAGCCGGGCGACGGUUGUCCCGGUUUAAGCAUGUAGGCUGGUUGUCCAGGCAAAUCCGGAUAAUCAAGGCUGAGGUGUGAUGACGAGGCACUACGGUGCUGAAGUAACAAAUGCCCUGCUUCCAGGAAAAGCCUCUAAGCAUCAGGUAACAUCAAAUCGUACCCCAAACCGACACAGGUGGUCAGGUAGAGAAUACCAAGGCGCUUGAGAGAACUCGGGUGAAGGAACUAGGCAAAAUGGUGCCGUAACUUCGGGAGAAGGCACGCUGGUGUGUAGGUGAAGUCCCUGCGGAUGGAGCUGAGACCAGUCGAAGAUACCAGCUGGCUGCAACUGUUUAUUAAAAACACAGCACUGUGCAAACACGAAAGUGGACGUAUACGGUGUGACGCCUGCCCGGUGCCGGAAGGUUAAUUGAUGGGGUUAUCCGUAAGGAGAAGCUCUUGAUCGAAGCCCCGGUAAACGGCGGCCGUAACUAUAACGGUCCUAAGGUAGCGAAAUUCCUUGUCGGGUAAGUUCCGACCUGCACGAAUGGCGUAAUGAUGGCCAGGCUGUCUCCACCCGAGACUCAGUGAAAUUGAACUCGCUGUGAAGAUGCAGUGUACCCGCGGCAAGACGGAAAGACCCCGUGAACCUUUACUAUAGCUUGACACUGAACAUUGAGCCUUGAUGUGUAGGAUAGGUGGGAGGCUUUGAAGCGUGGACGCCAGUCUGCGUGGAGCCAACCUUGAAAUACCACCCUUUAAUGUUUGAUGUUCUAACGUUGGCCCCUUACCGGGGUUGCGGACAGUGUCUGGUGGGUAGUUUGACUGGGGCGGUCUCCUCCCAAAGCGUAACGGAGGAGCACGAAGGUUAGCUAAUCCUGGUCGGACAUCAGGAGGUUAGUGCAAUGGCAUAAGCUAGCUUGACUGCGAGCGUGACGGCGCGAGCAGGUGCGAAAGCAGGUCAUAGUGAUCCGGUGGUUCUGAAUGGAAGGGCCAUCGCUCAACGGAUAAAAGGUACUCCGGGGAUAACAGGCUGAUACCGCCCAAGAGUUCAUAUCGACGGCGGUGUUUGGCACCUCGAUGUCGGCUCAUCACAUCCUGGGGCUGAAGUAGGUCCCAAGGGUAUGGCUGUUCGCCAUUUAAAGUGGUACGCGAGCUGGGUUUAGAACGUCGUGAGACAGUUCGGUCCCUAUCUGCCGUGGGCGCUGGAGAAUUGAGGGGGGCUGCUCCUAGUACGAGAGGACCGGAGUGGACGCAUCACUGGUGUUCGGGUUGUCAUGCCAAUGGCACUGCCCGGUAGCUAAAUGCGGAAGAGAUAAGUGCUGAAAGCAUCUAAGCACGAAACUUGCCCCGAGAUGAGUUCUCCCUGAGACUUUAAGUCUCCUGAAGGAACGUUGAAGACGACGACGUUGAUAGGCCGGGUGUGUAAGCGCAGCGAUGCGUUGAGCUAACCGGUACUAAUGAACCGUGAGGCUUAACCUU
This 2901-nucleotide ribosomal RNA is filed under the name Klebsiella pneumoniae U-0608239. Its description in RNAcentral is "23S ribosomal RNA". It matches the Rfam family "Bacterial large subunit ribosomal RNA". The record is from RNAcentral. Lineage: Bacteria; Pseudomonadati; Pseudomonadota; Gammaproteobacteria; Enterobacterales; Enterobacteriaceae.